CGGGGCUAGUCCGCACGAGCGCACCCUUGUGCUUAGUUGCUAACUUGUUUACAAGUGCACUCUAAGCAGACUGCCGCAUGAUAAUGCGGAGGAAGGUGGGGAUGACGUCAAAUCCUCAUGCCCCUUACGUCCCGGGCUACACACGUGCUACAAUGGUCUGUACAGAGGGUUGCCAAGGAGCGAUGCAGAGCCAAUCCCAAAAAGCACGCCCCCAGUUCAGAUUGGCAGCUGCAACUCGCCUCCAUGAAGGCGGAAUCGCUAGUAAUCGCGGAUCAACAUGCCGCGGGUGAAUACGUUUCCCCGGGCCUUUGUACACACCGCCCUAUAAAA
RNAcentral lists this ribosomal RNA (330 nucleotides) under uncultured bacterium. RNAcentral describes it as "bacterial SSU rRNA". It matches the Rfam family "Bacterial small subunit ribosomal RNA", at positions 1074 to 1402 of the family's 1533-position model. The record is from RNAcentral.